This 771-nucleotide ribosomal RNA is filed under the name Aphelenchoides sp. 11Asp. RNAcentral describes it as "eukaryotic LSU rRNA". It matches the Rfam family "Eukaryotic large subunit ribosomal RNA", at positions 344 to 964 of the family's 3401-position model. Lineage: Eukaryota; Metazoa; Nematoda; Chromadorea; Rhabditida; Aphelenchoididae. The record is from RNAcentral.
ACAAGUACCGUGAGGGAAAGUUGAAAAGCACUUUGAAAAGAGAGUGCAAGAGAACGUGAAACCGUUAUAGUGGAAGCGGAUGGAGCCGACGUUUCCAGUGCGUAUUCAGUUGUUGACGGGUGCGAUUUGUUCGUUCGGAGUUCUGCAAAGUCUCCACCGGGCAUUGUUGUAUUCGUUGGCAAUGCAUUUGCGUACAGAGUGCGCCGAAUCGGUUGAACUCGUUGUUUGAGGGGCGUGUAGAGGACCACUCUUCGGAGUGGAAACCUGUGUGCUCGGAGAACAAAUGAGUCUAGCUGUUGAUGGUCUUUCGUUGCGUUUGCGUGCAGCUUUGGCCGCCUAGGUACAGCACAUGUGUUUUGCCUUUGUAGUCAGGGUUGUGUGUUUGCGUUGUUUGGCCGAACAUUCGGUGUUCAGUCGGUCACCCAUUCGACCCGUCUUGAAACACGGACCAAGGAGUUUAAGGUGUACGCAAGUCAUUGGGUGUGUAAAGCUCAAAGGCGAAAUGAAAGUGGGACACUUAGUGUCUGUGGUGCGAUCCUUGGUCGAUUCGUUGGCCUAGGAGCAGCAUCGACCCAUGACUAGAACUUGUUCUGUUGUGGAGUCUGAGCGUACGCUCUGAGACCCGAAAGAUGGUGAACUAUGCCCGAACAGGACGAAGUCAGAGGAAACUCUGAUGGAAGUCCGAAGCGGUUCUGACGUGCAAAUCGAUCGUCUGAUUUGGGUAUAGGGGCGCAAGACUAAUCGAACCAUCUAGUAGCUGGUUCCUUCCGA